AAAUACCUCUUGGUUUGAGGACUGUCGUGCGCAAGCCGGCUUUCCUUGCACUUUCCAGUCUAUGUUUUAUAAUAUACACCUAAAGUAUGUUUCAGAAUGUCAUUUAAUGGGCAUAACUGCCUUUAAUUACCAUACAACUUUCAACAACGGAUCUCUUGGCUCUCGCAUCGAUGAAGAACGCAGCGAAAUGCGAUAAGUAAUGUGAAUUGCAGAAUUCAGUGAAUCAUCGAAUCUUUGAACGCACCUUGCGCUCCUUGGUAUUCCGAGGAGCAUGCCUGUUUGAGUGUCAUUAAAUUCUCAACCUUUUCAAUCUUUUAUUGGUUGAAUUAGGUUUGGAUGUGGGAGUCUUUCUGCUGGCUUCUUUAAGAGGUCGGCUCUCCUUAAAUUUAUUAGCAGGACCUUUGUUGCCCUCUCAGCGUUAGUGUGAUAAUUAUCUACGCUAUUUGCUGAAAGCAACUC
RNAcentral lists this ribosomal RNA (459 nucleotides) under Tricholoma flavovirens. Its description in RNAcentral is "eukaryotic LSU rRNA". The stretch from base 136 to 289 matches the Rfam family "5.8S ribosomal RNA". Lineage: Eukaryota; Fungi; Basidiomycota; Agaricomycetes; Agaricales; Tricholomataceae. The record is from RNAcentral.